This 484-nucleotide ribosomal RNA is filed under the name uncultured bacterium. RNAcentral describes it as "partial 16S ribosomal RNA". It matches the Rfam family "Bacterial small subunit ribosomal RNA", at positions 30 to 507 of the family's 1533-position model. The record is from RNAcentral.
AUUGAACGCUGGCGGCAGGCCUAACACAUGCAAGUCGAGCGGAUGAAGGGAGCUUGCUCCUGGUUUCAGCGGCGGACGGGUGUGUAAUGCCUAGGAAUCUGCCUGGUAGUGGGGGAUAACGUCCGUUAACGGGCGCUAAUACCGCAUACGUCCUUAGGGUGAAAGUGGGGGAUCUUCGGACCUCACGCUAUCAGAUGAGCCUAGGUCGGAUUAGCUAGUUGGUGGGGUAAAGGCCUACCAAGGCGACGAUCCGUAACUGGUCUGAGAGGAUGAUCAGUCACACUGGAACUGAGACACGGUCCAGACUCCUACGGGAGGCAGCAGUGGGGAAUAUUGGACAAUGGGCGAAAGCAUGAUCCAGCAAUGCCGCGUGUGUGAAGAAGGUCUUCGGAUUGUAAAGCACUUUAAGUGGGGAGGAAGGGCAGUAAGUUAAUACCUUGCUGUUUUGACGUUACCAACAGAAUAAGCACCGGCUAACUUCGUG